This 287-nucleotide long non-coding RNA is filed under the name Glycine max (soybean). Its description in RNAcentral is "long non-coding RNA (GMAX_LNC001634)". Lineage: Eukaryota; Viridiplantae; Streptophyta; Magnoliopsida; Fabales; Fabaceae. The record is from RNAcentral.
AGCAUCAUAUCGCGGGAGAAGAUCGACCAGGCAGCGGUGUGGCUCGGCUCCGCCGUCUCUUCCGCUUUCUUUUCCUCAUUGGAACGCUUUUCCUGCGUCAACGUCGCCACCUCUGACCCCGACAACGACGAUGACGACGACGAUUAUUACUCCACCACCACCGCCACUCCCACCUCCGCAUCCACCACCACCACCACCGCCCUCGCCACCACUCCUCCCUCCGUUCAGGUCAACGGGGAAAAAACAAACGACGACGUCUCCAACCUCCCCGUUUGAGGCAAUAUAAC